Long non-coding RNA from Pocillopora damicornis (cauliflower coral), 479 nucleotides. RefSeq lists it as uncharacterized. The record is from RefSeq and is a predicted model, not a curated record. Lineage: Eukaryota; Metazoa; Cnidaria; Anthozoa; Scleractinia; Pocilloporidae.
AUUGAGACCGCUCAUUCAACAAGCAUAUGACAUUUACCUUCGCACGAGGGAAUGGAAAAAUCGGCUUUCAUUUGGGAUCAUGUUGUAAAUCGAUAAAAUCCUAAAUUUUCCAGUGGUGUUGGAUUUAAGCAUUCCUGUGAGAAUCGUUGUAAAAUUUCAAGCGAUCGGUGCUGGAAAUCGGUCUGAUGAACAAACACGGGCUGUCAAGGACGGGACGUGAGAAAAUUCCCACCUGGUGUCACUGCAGGGAUGUAAGCAGUAAAAUGAUGGCCAUUGCAUUGUACUGAAAGACAGGCACAUUUUCCACAGAGUUCUUAGCAAUUGUUUUAACAAAAAGAUAUAGAGGAUGUCAUAUGGCCGCACGGAGAUACGAAUUUCGAGUGUUGAAAUGGGCGAAGAGAACGAGUGAAAUAUCUUUUCAACACUCAAAUAUGAUAUUCUGUUUAUUAUUACACAAAUUAAAUACGAAAUCAAAGGCA